AUGCCGGACGCUGCUCGCCCACGCCCAACUCACCUGCUCCAAGGGCGGCGGAGGAGAGAAGCGUCUGGCACAGGCCAGGAAGAUGUCAGGGGCUGGCUUCCCACUCUUCACCUCGGGAUCGUCCCCCAGCACGAUGUGGCUGAACAAGCUGAAGAAUUCCUUGUGUCGGCCGGUCUUCAUCUCGAAGGGUGCACGCCCCAAGCUGGUGGACAUGGCAAAGGGGACGUCGUGCUUCCGCAAGUGGUGGAUGAGCUUCUCCACACCUGGGGAGGGUCACUGGUUCUGGCCCAGGAAGUCCCUGGGUUCAAAAGGAGAUGGUGGAGCUUUUCAAGGGAUCCGGGCCAGAUCUCCCGUCCUGCCCCCCAGGGUCACGGAUACUUGCUGGGUGCAGGUCCCCAUUCAGCUACAGACUGGACCCUGGAGCGGGGUGUCUCUGCUUCCAAAGCGAGGAUCCCAGAGUUGUCUGUGAGGCUGACAGAGGCAGCAGCGAGGGAGGAUCCAGCCAAGCUGCACUGUGACAAGGAACAGCAGGGCAGAGGACCUGGCAUUCUGUCCCAUCAGAAGGAACAGCAGAGCCUCCUGGGUUCUGCCCCAUUCGAGAAAGCCCUCGAAAUGCAAAGCAAUUUUGCAUGGGACUUUGUCCACACUGUCUUCCUUAGGAUUUCAGGAGGCUGAGCCUUUCGAAACACUAACAGUUUGGGGAAAUAAAGUAUGAUUCUUUCUAGGGCUUCCCUGAUUUUCG
RNAcentral lists this long non-coding RNA (742 nucleotides) under Cavia porcellus (domestic guinea pig). Its description in RNAcentral is "lncRNA (ENSCPOG00000033055.1)". Lineage: Eukaryota; Metazoa; Chordata; Mammalia; Rodentia; Caviidae. The record is from RNAcentral.